This 250-nucleotide ribosomal RNA is filed under the name uncultured bacterium. Its description in RNAcentral is "partial 16S ribosomal RNA". It matches the Rfam family "Bacterial small subunit ribosomal RNA", at positions 524 to 773 of the family's 1533-position model. The record is from RNAcentral.
UACAUGGGGUGCAAACGUUGCUCGGAAUUAUUGGGCGUAAAGCGCACGUAGGCGGCUUUUUAAGUCGGAUGUGAAAUCCCUCGGCUUAACCGAGGAAGGGCAUCCGAAACUGGAUGGCUUGAGUACGAGAGAGGAUCGCGGAAUUCCCGGUGUAGAGGUGAAAUUCGUAGAUAUCGGGAGGAACAUCGGUGGCGAAGGCGGCGAUCUGGUUCGAUACUGACGCUGAGGUGCGAAAGCGUGGGGAGCAAAC